GGAUCAAUAUGUUUGUCGUGCCUUGGUACGUACUAGCUUAUUGAUUUCUCCCUUCUAACGAACCAUGAUGUCAUUAAUUUGGUGUCAUGGGGAAUUAGGACUGUUACUUUGAAAAAUUAGAGUGUUUAAAGCAGGCUCACGCUUGAAUACAUUAGCAUGGAAUAAUGAAAUAGGAUGUUUGAUUCUAUUUUGUUGGUUUCUAGGAUCGACAUAAUGAUUAAU
Molecule: ribosomal RNA, 222 nt
Filed under: uncultured Glomeromycotina
Lineage: Eukaryota; Fungi; Glomeromycota
Description: partial 18S ribosomal RNA
Rfam family: Eukaryotic small subunit ribosomal RNA (bases 45-222)
Source: RNAcentral